GCUGGCGGCAUGCUUAACACAUGCAAGUCGAACGUGAAAGCACUUCGGUGUGAGUAGAGUGGCGGACGGGUGAGUAACGCGUGGGAAUCUGCCCAGUAGUGGGGGACAACUACCGGAAACGGUAGCUAAUACCGCAUACGCCCUAUGGGGGAAAGGCUUCGGCCGCUAUUGGAUGAGCCCGCGUCAGAUUAGCUAGUUGGUAGGGUAAAGGCCUACCAAGGCAACGAUCUGUAGCUGGUCUGAGAGGACGAACAGCCACACUGGGACUGAGACACGGCCCAGACUCCUACGGGAGGCAGCAGUGGGGAAUAUUGGACAAUGGGCGAAAGCCUGAUCCAGCAAUGCCGCGUGUGUGAAGAAGGCCUGCGGGUUGUAAAGCACUUUCAGUUGGGAAGAUGAUGACGUUACCAACAGAAGAAGCACCGGCUAAAUCCGUGCCAGCAGCCGCGGUAAUACGGAUGGUGCGAGCGUUAAUCGGAAUUACUGGGCGUAAAGCGCGCGUAGGCGGCUAAGUCAGUCA
Molecule: ribosomal RNA, 520 nt
Filed under: uncultured Gammaproteobacteria bacterium
Lineage: Bacteria; Pseudomonadati; Pseudomonadota; Gammaproteobacteria
Description: bacterial SSU rRNA
Rfam family: Bacterial small subunit ribosomal RNA
Source: RNAcentral